GCAAGUCGAGCGAAGACUAGUUUACUAGUUACUGAGCGGCGAACGGGUGAGUCCUUCUAGGAUAAUCUGCCACUAGGAUUGGGAUAACCUCAGGAAACUUAGACUAAUACCAAAUAUGACCACAGUCUUUACGAAGACAGUGGUAAAAUGUUUUUUCGCCUAGUGAUGAGUCCAAGUCGCAUCAGGUUGUUGGUAAGGUAAUGGCUUACCAAGCCUAUGACGCGUAGCAGGUCUUAGCGGAUGAUCUGCCACAUGGGGACUGAGAUACGGCCCUGACUCCUACGGGAGGCAGCAGUGAGGAAUAUUGGACAAUGGACGAAAGUCUGAUCCAGCGAUGCCGCGUGAAGGAUGAAGGCCCUAGGGUUGUAAACUUCUGUCAGCAGGGAAGAUAAUGACGGUACCUGCAGAGGAAGCCCCGGCUAACCCCGUGCCAGCAGCCGCGGUAAUACGGAGGGGGCAAACGUUAUUCGGAUUUACUGGGCGUAAAGGGUUCGUAGGCGGUUUUUUAGGUUAGAUGUGAAAGCUUGAAGCUUAACUUCAAAAUAGCAUCUAAAACUGAAUUACUAGAUUCUUGGAGAGGUAGAUGGAAUUACCGGUGUAGCGGUGAAAUGCGUAGAUAUCGGUAGGAACACCAGUGGCGAAAGCGAUCUACUGGACAAGUAAUGACGCUGAGGGACGAAAGCGUGGGUAGCAAACAGGAUUAGAUACCCUGGUAGUCCACGCCCUAUACGAUGAAUACUAGAUGUUGGAUUUAUUCAGUAUCGUAGCUAACGUAUUAAGUAUUCCGCCUGGGGAGUACGGUCGCAAGGCUGAUACUCAAAGGAAUUGGGCGGGGACUCGCACAAGCGGGUGGAGCAUGUGGUUUAAUUCGAUGCUAAGCGAAGAACCUUACCAGGGCUUGACAUGUAAGCAUA
Molecule: ribosomal RNA, 914 nt
Filed under: uncultured marine bacterium
Lineage: Bacteria
Description: bacterial SSU rRNA
Rfam family: Bacterial small subunit ribosomal RNA
Source: RNAcentral